UGUUUAUUCAAAUCAAGUCUUUCAUAUAAAGAGAAAGGCAUGACACUAACACCAGCUCGCAAAUCACAUAAAGCAGUUUUCACAUAAUUUCUUUUGAUGGAGCAAGGUAUAGUUGGUAUUCCUGGAUCUCCAAGUUUUUUAGGUACUCCAUCUUUAAAAGUAUAAUUAGCAAGCAUGGUGGAGAUUUCAGCUUCUGGUAUUUUUCUCUUAUUGGUGAUGAUGUCUUUCAUGUACUUUGCAUAAGGAGGCAUUAUUAAGAUAUCAGUCAAGCGGGUACGCAAAAGACUGGCCUCAGCAUUUCAGCAAAGCGUUCAAAUUCUCCAUCAUCUUUCUUUUUAGUUGGCUUAGCUGAAAAGGGCAUAGGUUUUUGAACCCAUGGCUCCCUUUCCUUUCCAUGUUUUCUAGCAACAAAGUCUUUUUUAUCAUAUCUUUUAUUCUUGGGUUGUGGGUUAUCAAGAUCAACAGCUGGUUCUAUCUCAACAUCAUUGUCUGGUUCUUUAUUAUUUGGUUGAGUGUCUUCAUGAACCUCAUCAUUAUCUUUUUCAUUAUCAGAAGGUGAGUGUUCACUACCAUAUUGAUUUUCAACAUCCAAGAUAGAAACUUCAUUAUCAUUAUCAGGAGGUUUUUCCACUUCAGGUUCACUAGAGGCUGGCAAAGUCCUAUUAUUUUCUUCUUCUUUUUCUUUUUAGAAGGACUAGGUGCAUCAGUGUUAAUUCUUUGAGAGUCUUGUUGAAUUUUCUUUGGGUGUCCCUCAGGAUAAAGUGGUUCCUGAGUCAUUUUACCUCCUCUAGUUGCUACUCUAAGAGCAAAGUCACUUAUAUUAUUGUUCAUUUCAUCAAGCAACUCUCUUUGAGGUUUAGCAACUUGUUCUGAUUGAGUUUGAACCAUAGAGGCAUGCUUUCCUACACCUCUAACAUCAUUUGAGAUUAUAAAUAACAAGUCACUUAAGCGAGCAAUCAUAUCAGAGUUGUAUUUCAAUUGUUUCAUAACAUUUGCAUUGAAGUGAUCUUGCUUUCUAAUGUAAUUAUCAAACACAUAAACGCAUUGGCUAGGAUGUUUAUUAUGAGGAUCAUCACUAUCAUUGAAUUUCAUUAAAGAAUUUACCUCUACCACAUUAGGUAGCGGUGGUGUAUCAAGCCCAUGUAUUUCUUCAAUAGGUGGUAGAUUUUUAACAUCCUCUACUUUAAUACCUUUUUCCUUCAUAGAUUUCUUUGCCUCUUGCAUAUCUUCGGGACUGAGAUAUAAAAUACCCCUCUUCUUUGGAGUGGGUUUAGGAGGUGUUUCAGGACGAGUCCGAUCAUCAUAAUUUUUCAAUAUGUUAUUCAAAAAUUCUUUAGCUUGCUCAAUAGUUCGUUCCCUGAAAACACAACCAGCACAACUAUCUAGGAAAUCCCUAGAAGCAUCGGUUAGUCCAUUAUAGAAGAUAUCAAGUAUUUCAUUUUUCUUAAGAGGGUGAUCAGGAAAAGCAUUAAGCAAUUGGAGAAGCCUCCCCCAAGCUUGUGGGAGACUCUCUUCUUCAAUUUGCACAAAGUUAAAUAUUUCCUGCAAGGCAGCUUGUUUCUUAUGAGUAGGGAAAUAUUUUUCAGAGAAGUAAUAAAUCAUAUCCUGGGGACUACACACAUAACCAGGAGCAAGAGUAUUGUACCAAGCUUUAUCAUCACCCUUUUGAGAACGGAAAUAAUCCAAGGAUAUAGUAAUAGCGAAUCUUUCUCGUCAUGAGCCAAAAGGGUGGCUAUGUCAUUCAACUUAGUAAGAUGUGCCACAACAGUUUCAAUUUCAUAACCAUGGAAUGGAUUAGAUUCAACCAAAGUAAUUAACUCUGGGUCGACAGAGAAUUCAUAAUCCUUAUCAUCAAUAAAGAUAGGUGAAGUAGCAAACUUAGGAUCACAUUUCAUUCUAGCAUUCAAAGAUCUUUCUUUAUACUUGCAUAAUAAUUUUUCUAAAUCAUCUCUAUCCUUACAAGCAAGAAUAUCUCUAGUUGCCUCCUCACUCAUAGCAUAACCUUCCGGUACAUUUGGCAAUUCAUAUCUAGGAGGGUUAGUUCUAAUAGGUGUUUCAAGAAUUUCAGUUUCAAGCUCAUCAUUAGUUUCAAUAAUAUCAUGUUGUCUUACUGUAGCAAUUUGUUCAUUAAGAAAUUCACCUAGUGGCACAUUAUCAUCAAGCAAGGUUCUAGCAUCAUUGAUGUCUACUACCCAACCUUCUUCUUGUGGACUCGUGUUAGGCCUCCAAGCGCAGAGUUUUGUAGGACAUUAGCAAAUUUCCCUCAAGUGGAUGACCUAAGGUUUAUCAAUCUGUGGGAGGCGUAGGAUGAAGAUGGUCUCUCUCAAACAACCCUGCAACAAAAUAACAAAGAGUCUCUUGUGUCCCCAACACACCCAAUACAAUGGUAAAUUGUAUGGGUGCACUAGUUUGGCGAAGAGAUGGUGAUACAAGCGUAAUAUGGAUGGUAGAUACUGCUUUUCGUAAUCUGAAAAUAUAAAAACGGCAAGGUAAUACCUCCGUCCGAAAAUACUUCUCAUCGAAAUGGAAAAAAAGAGAUGUCUCUAGAUCUAAAAUACAUCUAGAUACAUCUCCUUUUAUUCAUUUUGAUGGCAAGUAUUUCCGGACGGAGGGAGUAGCAAUUAACAAAAGUGAGCAAAAACAGUAUUGCAAUGCUUCAAAACAAGAUCCAGGGUUCAUACUUUCGCUAGUGCAAGUUCUCUCAACAAUGAUAACAUAAUUGGAUCAUAUAACAAUCCCUCAACAUGCAACAAAGAGUCACUCCAAAGUCACUAAUAAUGGAGAACAAACGAAGAGAUUAUUGUAGGGUACGAAACCACCUCAAAGUUAUUCUUUCUGAUCGAUCUAUUGGGCUAUUUCUAUAAGUGUCACAAACAGCCCUAGAGUUCGUACUAAAAUAACACCUUAAGACAUACAUCAAACAAAACCCUAAUGUCACCUAGAUACUCCAAUGUCAUCACAAGUAUCUGCGGGUUUGAUUAUAUGAUAUGCAUCACACAAUCUCAGAUUCAUCUAUUCAAACCAACACAAAGAACUUCAAAGAGUGCCCCAAAGUUUCUACCGGAGAGUCAAGACGAAAACGUGUGCCAACCCCUAUGCAUAAGUUCACAAGGUCACAGAACCCGCAAGUUGAUCACCAAAACAUACAUCAAGUGGAUCACGUGAAUAUCCCAUUGUCACCACAGAUAAGCACAUGCAAGACAUACAUCAAGUGUUCUCAAAUCCUUAAAGACUCAAUCCGAUAAGAUAACUUCAAAGCAAAAAACUCAAUCCAUUACAAGAAGGUAGAGGGGUAGAAACAUCAUAAGAUCCAACUAUAAUAGCAAAGCUCGCGGUACAUCAAGAUCGUGCCAAAUCAUGAACACGAGAGAGAGAGAGAGAGAGAGAGAGAGAGAGAUUAAACACAUAGCUACUGGUACAUACCCUCAGCCCCGAGGGUGAACUACUCCCUCCUCGUCAUGGAGAGCGCUGGGAAGAUGAAGAUGGCCAUCAGUGAUGGAUCCCCCUCCGGCAGGGUGCUGGAACAGGGUCCCAAUUGGUUGUUGGUGGCUAUAGAGGCUUGCGGCGGCGGAACUCCUGAUCUAGGUUCUGUUCUGGAAGUUUGGGGAUAUAUAAGAGGUGUUGGCGUCGGGAACAAGUUAGGGGGGGCCACGAGGCAGCCACAAGGUAGGGGGCGAGCCCUAGGGGGCGCUUCCCUCCACCCUUGUGGUGGCCUCAGGACUCUUCUGGUUCGUUUCCGAUGCUCCAUGGGCUUCUUCUGGUCCAUAAAUAAUCACCGUAAAUUUUCAGCUUGUUUGGACUCCAUUUGAUAUUCCUUUUCUGCGAAACUCAAAAACAAGUAACAAAAUAGAAACUGGCACUGGGCUCUAGGUUAAUAGGUUAGUCCCAAAAAUCAUAUAAAAUAGCAUAUAAAUGCAUAUAAAACAUCCAAGAUGGAUAAUAUAAUAGCAUGGAACAAUCAAACAUUAUAGAUACGUUGGAGACGUAUCAAGCAUCCCAAAGCUUAAUUCCUGCUUGUCCUCGAGUAGGUAAAUGAAAAAAAUAGAAUUUUUGAUGUGGAAUGCUACCUAACAUAUUUAUCCAUAAGAUUCAAAACAAAAGUUUAAUAUUGACAUGAAAACGAUAGUACUUCAAGCAUACUAAUAAAGCAAUCGUGUCUUCUCAAAAUAACGUGGCCAAAGAAAGUUAUCCCUACAAAAUCAUAUAGUCUAGCUAUGCUCCAUCUUCAUCACACAGAAUAUUCAAAUCAUGCACAACCCCGAUGGCAAGCCAAGCAAUUGUUUCAUACUUUUGAUGUUCUCAAACAUUUUCAACUUUCACGCAAUACAUGAGCAUGAGCCAUGGACAUAACACUAUAGGUGGAAUAGAAUAUGGUGGUUGUGGAGAAGACAAAAAGAAGGAGAUAGUCUCACAUCAACUAGGCGUAUAAAUGGGCUAUGGAGAUGCCCAUUGUCGGUGUCAAAACCGGUGGAUCUCGGGUAGGGGGUCCCGAACUGUGCGUCUAGGCAGAUGGUAACAGGAGACAAGGGACACGAUGUUUUUAUCCAGGUUCAGGCCCUCUCGAUGGAGGUAAAACCCUACUCCUGCUUGAUUAAUACUGAUGAUAUGGGUAGUACAAGAGUAGAUCUACCACGAGAACAGAGAGGCUAAACCCUAGAAGCUAGCCUAUGGUAUGAUUGUUGUUCAUCCUACAGACUAAAACCCUCCGGUUUACAUAGGCACCGAAGAGGGUUAGGGUUACACAGAGUCGGUUACAAUGGUAGGAGAUCUACAUAUCCGUAUCGCCAAGCUUGCCUUCCACGCCAAGGAAAGUCCCAUCCGGACACGGGACGAAGUCUUCAAUCUUGUAUCUUCAUAGUCCAGGAGUCCGACCAAAGGCUAUAGUCCGGCCAUCCGGACACCCCCUAAUCUAGGACUCCCUCAGUAGCCCCUGAACCAGGCUUCAAUGACGACGAGUCCGGCGUGCAUAUUGUCUUCGGCAUUGCAAGGCGGGUUCCUCCUCCAAAUACUUCAUAGAAGAUUUUGAACACAAGGAUAGUGUCCGGCUCUGCAAAAUAAGUUCCACAUACCACCGUAGAGAGAAUAAUAUUUACACAAAAUCAAUCUGCUGACGUAUUCCGUGGCGUGACAUCACACCACGGCCAAGCCUUUAUUUGAAUUGUUUUUACUGUCCCACCUCAACACGUUUAGCGAGGCGGUUUCCUUGGCACGUCUUGUCAAAGAAGAGAUCGUGUCCCCUUAUUCCGGGAUUCUCAUUAAUACGGGCGUGGGUAACCCAACCGCGCCAUUUAUUACGGUGCUUGGGAGAUAAGCGAGUUUUACCAGGCUGGUGGGGAUGCAUAGCUUCGUCCGUCCAUAUAAGGGGAUAAGGAUCCACUUUUUCACACACGCCUUCUUCCUCCUUUGCUCAUCCAUUUCCGCGCACUCGAGCUCCAACGCCCAAGUCCACACAUCUCGCAUCAACCUUCCCCAGCCAUGUCCGGAGCGGGAGGCAAGUGGAUGGUCUCCUCCGUCACGGAGGGGCACAUCAAAAAGCUGCGGAAGGCCGGAUACUUGUCCGGCGACAUUGCGCAUCGGCUCCCCGACAAGGGGCAGCUUAUCCCCACCCCCAGGCCCCAUGAGAGGGUGGUGUUCCUCACCCACUUCCUCCGCGGACUAGGUUUUCCACUUCACCCAUUUGUCCGGGGGCUCAUGUUCUACUACGGCCUGGAUUUCCACGGUCUGGCCCCGAAUUUCAUCCUCAACAUCUUGGCGUUCAUCGUCGUGUGCGAGGCCUUCCUCUGCAUCCAGCCCCACUUCGGCUUAUGGCUGAAGACCUUCAAUGUCAAGCCGAAGGUAGUGGGCGGCCGCCAAGCGGAGUGCGGAGGUGCCAUGGUGAGCAAGAUGACCAACGUCCUAUGGCUCGAGGGCUCCUUCGUGGAGACCAUAAAGGGAUGGCAAUCGGGGUGGUUCUACAUCACCGAGCCGCGUGACCCUAAAUGGGUGGCGGCCCUCGAAUUCCGAUUUGGCUUCCCUACACGGCUCACCUCCUGGAAGGAGACGGGCCUGACAUGGGGUAAUUCGGAAGAGCUAACCGGACUGCAGACCUGUGUCCAGAACCUGGUGAACAAGAAGCUCAAGCUUGUCAACAUAGUCCAGGUCAUGCUCAUCCGCCGGAUGCUCCCAUGCCAACAACGGGCCUUCAACUUGUGGGAGUUUGAUCCGGCGCAGCACCAAACCCUGAGCAGGCUCUUCGACACUACGUACGGAGAUGCCUGGAAGGUGCUGUUCAAGGGCGCCGAGGCUCCCGCAUCCGCUACCGAAGAUCGCGGAUUCAGCUCGCAGCGUCAAGCCGGCGAGGUAAGCUAUUCAACCCUUUACGGGACUCUUGUUUCCCAUAGUUUGACUCUAUGCAGGAUCUAAACUCCUUUACCUUUGACAGGAUUGGCAGGAGACGUCUGGGCAAGUUAACUGUCCGGCUCCCUUGCCAGAAGACCCAGCGGACGCCCGAUUGGCGGGGCUGCUGGUUUCGGCACCUCACGUGGUGCCGGAGAAGAAGGCCAAGAAGAAGGCAACGGGAACUCGAAGGAGUUCCCGGCGCCAGGUGUUGUCGGACUCAUCGUCCGAUGACUCCGAGGCAGACUCCUCCCGCGAAGACGAGGAGGAGGAAAAAGAGGCCUCUCCCCCAGCGGGGGGAGAGAAGAAAAGGAAGGUCGCCCCAACUGGGGAGUCCGGAGGGUCCAAGAAGGGAAGGACCCUCCCUCCGGACUACUCCACCAAUGCCGACGAUGGCGAAGAGGAGUGGCCACCGAGGGCUAAGCCCUUGGCGAAAUCAUAAGUGUCCGGAUACCAGAAUAACUCAUGGCGUUUCAUUUGUCGCACAGUAUCUCCUAAUGCCGAAUAUAACCCUGCAGCCCGCAUAAGGACGAGCUCGACGCUUCAACGAGUGGCUCCCUGGAUUCGUCGGACGUGAAUAGCAUCUCACUUCCGGCUGCCUCCUCUCCUCAUGCUGCGGAUGACGCCGAGGUGGGGUCCCAAAACAGGCCCAGCCAGGACGAGGUGGUCCAGGAGGCACCACAAGGCAACCUCCCGGACUCCAGGCGCAAGGGGGAUAAAACCCCAAAGGGUUGUAAGUCCGGCCCUGGGCCGGACUCUGUAUUGGAACCUUCAGUGGUUCCGGAGUCCGGCAGGCGGACCCUUUGUAAGAAGGGCAAGACUGCGACACCGGUGACCUCCGUCCAACCGGAGGCACCGGAUAAUUUGCUGGAGGCGCUUAACGGCGCCUCCAUCAACGAGGAGCACCGCACUGUUAUGAGUGUGGUGAUCCAGAAAGUUCAGUCCGCCAAGAGUGGGCUGACUGAAGCCUGUGCCAGCCUUCUAACAGGCUUUGAGGUAUGUAUUUAAUAUAUGUAAAAAUAUUACCGCAUAGACAGUAGCCCCUGAUGCUCAGUUUGCUGUUCGGAAAGAAAAGCCGAACUGAGGAUCUAAAAAGAUGUACGUAGGAGUCUAACAUAAGUAUGUCAAUAUGGGAAUGCAGGCUGCGCUGUUGACCUCUGCCGCACUGACUGCGGAGGUCAAUGCAUUGAAGCAGAGCCUCGAGUGGUCCGAGAACGAGCUCGGCCUUGCCAAAAAGCAGCUCGAGGACAAGGAAGGUAAGUAAUACCUUAUGGAAGUAUAUAAAAGAUGUGGUUGCAAAAAAUGAUAGGAAUAACGUGAGUAUUGCAGGGGCCACGAACGAGGUGGCGACCCUGAAGGAAGCGGUGUCCAAGGCCAAAAGCGAUGCAGCCGCGGAGCACACCGAGCGAGAGAAGCAGGAGGCGCGGGUGGCGGAGGUGCGGCAAGAGCUCCAGGCUCUCAUGGAAAAACACGAGAGUUUGGAGCGUGACUCAAAGACUCGAGAGUCCGAGCUCGCCUCGGCCCUUGAGAGUGCCAAAGCCGCUAAGGCCGAAGCCCAAAAAGCCCUCCAGGAAAUUGAGGGAAUGAAGAGGAUAGCAGCGGGUAAGGCAUUCUUUAUGCAAAGCAAGCACGUGAAAGUGAAUUACUUGUUACUUACCCGAAUCCGGAGCUCUCCAGGAGCAUUCGCAGAUCUGCCCCGCAGUGUGUCCGACGUUGCCGCAUUCUACCGGGCCGAGGAGGGGAGCUCAACAGAGAAGGUGUCUUGGUCUCAGUAUGCUGAGGCCGGACACCCGGUGCCCUUGAGUGACCAGCUGAAGCAGCUGGUCGAGCUCAAUAAGGUGGCCGAACAGGCCAUGAAGGGCCUCAUAGUUCGGUUGUGGCCUAAGGAAGCCAUGCCUGGGAGCUACUUUGGGUUGGUGAGGCGGCUGGUGGACGCCUGUCCAUGGAUUGAAGUCGUCAAGCGCUCUGUCUGCAUCGAAGGUGCCCGUAGGGCCCUUGCCCGUGCUAAAGUGCAUUGGGGCAAGAUGGACACUGAGAAGCUUGUGACGGACGGACCACCGCUGGGCAGGGAGUAUCACAAGCCCGAGAUUUAUUAUGAGGGCAUCCUGAAGGGUGCCCGCCUUAUAGCGGGUGAAUGCUCCAAAGAUGAAAUUUUUGAGUAAACUCGCAUUUGUUAUCCUGUACGCUGAAAACUUGUUCAUAUGCGCUAAGCAAAGCUUGUGAAUUUAAAAUAUUACCUUAUGUGCGGCCGUUUAUUAAAUUUGAGAGAUGGCGAGUCAUCGGCUUCUGCCCCCAUGCCACGAGUGCUGGGGUGUUCGGGAUAAACUUGAGCGCUCUUUUUCCCAUUCUUGGGUCCUUCGAGGGAGGCGCUCAACGCAACGAACGAGGCAACCGGACUAUAAUGCUUGAACACUCUCACUUAGCCAUAGAAUUCUAUAAUUUUAAAUUUCAGCGAAGCCCCUAGUAUUCGGAAGACCGAGUUCGGGGCGCUAUCCAUGCCAGGGCCGGACAAAGCCGACUCCUCGCUCUAAACGGCAUAAGUCUUUAGGGACUCGAAAACCUCUCGAACAGCGACCGGCUCUCGCCCUAUCAUGACGGUCAGUUUUAGCUUUCUCCACUGAGGUGCUUAACCUAGCUCAACCGGGGCACAAUCGCAGUGGUUCUCCCAGCGCUACCUUAGCCGAUAUAACGAAACAUAAGGUACAAAAACAUGGGAGCCGGGCAAACCCAACUAUUGACCCAAGACAUGAUUCGAGUCGAUGCAUAUAAUGCUAUAAGUUCGGGGUGCCGCACUUGUGAAAGUGUUCGGACUUAUCACACCAUAUUUUGGGGUACUUAAGCCCCUGGUGUAUUUGGCCGUACCAAAGUGUACGGGUGCAACAUGUCAUAAGUGAACAUAUAUAGAUAAUAAAAAAGGGAAUGGGAUAAUAGGCAGAAGCUAUGUAUUGUUUAUUCAAAAAGGCUGCGGUAAAAGCAGAAUGAUACAAAUAGUGCGAUAAGCAAUGGACGGGACUAUUUGACAUGCCCCCCUCCAGGGGCGAGCUGCGGGAUGAUAUGUGAAACAAGUAUACUGCUCAUUAUAGAGACCACCUGGACACUCGACGUAGCUUUCUGCUUCCCUGGCUGUUGCAUCGUGUGUUCGGCGAUUCUACUGCCGGACAGGGCUUCUUGAGAAAGGAGUCCUGCAAGUAAGAUAAAAAAGAAUGACACAAUCGGGAGCCCCUGGUGCAGUUGAGCCGCAUUCUGGGCCUGCCGUGGUCGUGCCCCUUCCCCUAUGCCCAUGGUAUUUCCAGAGCGUAAUUAUGUACGCGUAGUACUGGUUUCGCAAUUUCGCGAGGGCUGGGGUUGGGGCCGCAUUGCUACGCGUGCUCGGGACGUGCCAGGCGGUCUUGUUGUAGGUUACUCCGGGCGCGCUAGACGGUGUCCGGACGUUUAAUAGCCGGACUCGAGAAUUGCCUUGAGAGGCUGCUUUGUACUUCCGCUGCGAGGGCCGCCGUAUGCUCCUCCGUUCGGAGAGAGUGUUUGGUGUUUCCGUUGACCGUAAUGACUCCUCAAGGGCCUGGCAUCUUGAGCUUGAGGUAUGCGUAGUGCGGCACCGCAUUGAACUUUGCAAAUGCGGUUCGUCCGAGCCGUGCGUGAUAGCCGCUGCGGAACGGGACUAUGUCGAAGAUUAACUCCUCGCUUCGAAAGUUAUCCGGGGAUCCGAAGACCACGUCAAGUGUAACUGAGCCUGUACAGUUGGCCUCUACACCUGGUAUGACGCCUUUAAAGGUCGUCUUUGUGGGUUUAAUCCUUGAGGGGUCUAUGCCCAUUUUGCGCACUGUAUCCUGAUAAAGCAGGUUCAGGCUGCUGCCACCGUCUAUCAGGACUCUAGUGAGGUGAAAUCCGUCAACGAUUGGGUCUAGAACCAAUGCGGCGAAUCCGCCAUGGCGGAUGCUAGUGGGGUGGUCCCUUUGAUCAAAAGUGAUCGGGCAGGAGGACCACGGAUUGAACUUUGGGGUGACUGGCUCCAUCGCAUAUACGUCCCUUAGUGCACGCUUCCGCUCCCUUUUGGGUAUGUGGGUUGCGUAUUGUAACGCCCCGGAUUCGUUGCGCCAGGUGUCCGCCAGUUAUUCGUCGUCGUUGCCAUGUCAUUUGCUUGCGUGUUGCAUUUUGCCAUGUCAUCAUGUGCAUCUCAUUUUGCAUACGCGUUCAUCUCUUGCAUCCGAGCAUUUUCCCCGUUGUCCGUUUUGCAAUCCGGCACUCCUAUGUCAUAUGGCGUUCCCCUUUUUGUCUCCUAUUGUGAGCGGGUGUUAAACUUUCUCGGAAUGUACCGUGAUUUGACAAGCAGCCUUGGUACACCACCGGUAGACCGCCUAUCAAGUUUCGUGCCAUUUGGAGGUCGUUUGAUACUCCAACGGUUAACCGGGUAACCGUAAAAGCCUCUUUUGUCUUGCAGCCCAACACCCCUCCAAAGUGGCCCAAAACCCAGCAAACUCCCCUCUAUGCUCUCGGUCGUUCGAUCACGAUCGUGUGGGCGAAAACCGUGCCUCAUUUGGACUCUCCUAGCUCCCUCUACCUAUAUAUAUGCCUUCCCCUUCCAAAUUCGCGGUGCAACCCUAGCCUCCAUCCUCCUUGCGCCGCCGGACACGUCCAUCCGCGCCGGACAUGUCCGCCGGCCGCCUCGCUCCGCCCAAUCAGAGCAUGCCACGUCACCCACGCCGCCGCCCCAGCCUCUCAGCGCCCACCACCUCACCCUCUCUCUCCUCCCACCACCGCGCAGCCNNNNNNNNNNNNNNNNNNNNNNNNNNNNNNNNNNNNNNNNNNNNNNNNNNNNNNNNNNNNNNNNNNNNNNNNNNNNNNNNNNNNNNNNNNNNNNNNNNNNNNNNNNNNNNNNNNNNNNNNNNNNNNNNNNNNNNNNNNNNNNNNNNNNNNNNNNNNNNNNNNNNNNNNNNNNNNNNNNNNNNNNNNNNNNNNNNNNNNNNNNNNNNNNNNNNNNNNNNNNNNNNNNNNNNNNNNNNNNNNNNNNNNNNNNNNNNNNNNNNNNNNNNNNNNNNNNNNNNNNNNNNNNNNNNNNNNNNNNNNNNNNNNNNNNNNNNNNNNNNNNNNNNNNNNNNNNNNNNNNNNNNNNNNNNNNUCACCUCUGCGUCGCUGCCGCCGACGUGGCCCCGCCGCCAUGGCCAUGGCGCCGCCGCUUGCCUCGGUUCCUCCUCGCCGCCCGCCUUCCCGUCUCCCUCGCCGGAGGCCGUCCUCCGCCCCAAGCCGCUGAGCCCCGCCGUCCUGCGCCGGCUCUCCGCUUCGGCCCCGCGUCCUGUCCCCGCCACCUCGCCGGCCUCGUCGCCGGAGCUCGCCCGCGCCUCCCCGCGCCUCGCCGGAGUCGUCUCCGGCCGGAUCCGGCGAGAUCCGGCCCGGAACCGUCGGGUGGAUGAGAUCCACCACCACAGCCAUCCAAACGCCCUCGCCCCGCCCGGAUCUCCUCGUCCCGGGUCCUCCUCGUCCCGUUUUCAGAGGGUAAAAUUCCACCAAGUCUCCGUAAUUUUGCAUAUUCUGGUGCCCCCUUUGACCUGCCAUAACUUGCUGCAUACUGCUUCGUUUCGUGCGUGUAAUAUGUCAAAUUGUUUGUCUCAAUGGGUACUUCAUUUCAUUCCAUUGCACUAUAUCUAUUUGAGCUCAUCUUGAUGCCCGAAUCAUCGUUGCAAGAGUGCUAUAUGAGGCUAAUCUGCUGAAACUGUUAUAACAUGCUCAUUUGUCAUUUUUGCCAUGUUUGAUGUGUGCAUCCUAUGAGGUUGAUGUCUACAUGUGUUUUGAUCUACAUCAUGCCAUCUUUACAGAGGUGCCAUCCAUGUAUUUUUGUGAGUCUUGUACUGAGUGCAUCAAGCUUGUUAAGUAGGGUACUUGCUAUUGUUGUUUUGCUAGGCUGAUUCUGUUAUAUUUUGUUGCUAUGUAAACCUGCUGCUACUAGUCAUUCUAUGCAUAAUCUGGAGAUAUUCACUAAGGAUGAUUUGUUAUAAAUGUUAUGCUCUAUCCAUUAAUGCCCCUGGGUGCAUUUAUAGCCUGCUGUAGCUUGUUGUAAUCUUGCUCCAAACUUGCUAAAUAAUGUUGCUGUCAGCCUGUUAACAUUAAGUUCAAUGUUUCCAUGAUUGUUGUUAGUGAUCCAAGCAUGCUAUGAUCUUUAUCUUGACAUGCUUAGCUUCAUAAACAUGUGUUCUUACUGUUGGUAACCUUGUCAUGCCAUGUGUUGCUCUGUGGUGAGUGGUUCAAGCUCACCAACAUGCCUACUUAUUGUUGUUCCUGCCAUGUAUGAAUCUGUCAUAUAACUUGCCAUGUUUACAUGGGUGCCAUCAUAUUUUCUGUGCCCUUUUGGCUCAUGGUCAGUAAGGGACUUUUGUUUUAUGCAAUUAGUAGGUUCAUGCCAUGCCUUUGUUUGCCAUGAUAAGUUCUUGUAACAUGUUGUUUGAUAGCUCUAAACAUUGCAACCUGAUGUUAUUUCUGCUAAGCCUGAAACUGUUAUUAUUUGCAAUCUUGCCAUGUCCUUUUGAGCAUGUUCUAGUAGUUUCUGGAGAUAGCUCAGUGUUCAUGUUUUGUCAUGCUUUACCUGUAGUUCAUGCCCAUUCUGUUAUCUUGUUAGGAUGCUGUAGCAUAUUGUUUUGAUGCUUGCUAGAUGCUUAGUUGUUGUUUUGGACAGCUUGUCCUUUAAACUUGUAUAGAGUGUAUGUGUUGAACCGUUGCUCCGUUUUGAGUGUGCUCUAUAUGAAACUUGCUUGAUUUUGUAUGUAGUUUCAUAUUAUCAUGUUGCAUCCUUGUUUUGAGGUGUUUGCUUGAUGUUUGUAUGCAUUUUGCAUCAAUGCCAUGCUUAACUUGUUUUGCUCAUAUCUUCUAGGCCGUAGCUCCGAAUCUAAUGAACUUUAUAUGUAACUUGACUAGAAUCUCGUGUAGAUCAUCUUGGUGCAUCUUAACUUGCUGUUUAACAACUUGAAUAUAAGGUUUAUUCAGAUCUGGACCAAUUUUGAAAUUUGCAUAUGAGGACUGACCGGAAUUGUUGUAUGUUGUUCCCGGCCUCAUUUAAACUUGCUUUGAUGUGUUGCUCUUGUUUGCAUCAUAUCUUGCCAUGAGUAGCUUCAUGUAGCUUUGUCAUGCAUCAUGCUUGUUGUGCAUCAUGUCUUGUUCAUGUGUGGUGUGUUUACCAUGUUGUGUGCUUCUUCUCGAUAGUUCUCGUUUUCGUUGCGAUCGUGAGUAUUUGUUCGUCUACGCUUGGUUCGUCUUCGUGGCUUCAUCUUCUUCAUGGACUCGUUCUUCUUCCUUGCGGGAUUUCAGGCAAGAUGACCGUCACCUUGGAUGUCAUUACUAUCAUUGCUAUGCUAGUUGCUUCGUUCUAUCGCUAUGUUGUGCUACCUAUCGCUUGCUCUUCAAGCCUCCCAAAUUGCCAUGUCAGCCUCUAACCUUUUCACCCUUCCUAGCAAACCAUUGCUUGGCUAUGUUACCGCUUUGCUCAGCCCCUCUUAUAGCGUUGUUAGUUGCAGGUGAAGUUGAAGAUUGCUCCAUGGUGGACAGGAUUAUGUUGGGAUAUCACAAUAUCUCUUAUUUAAUUAAUGCAUCUAUAUUUUUGGUAAAGGGUGGAAGGCUCGGCCUUAUGCCUGGUGUUUUGUUCCACUCUUGCCGCCCUAGUUUCCGUCAUACCGGUGUUAUGUUCCCGGAUUUUGCGUCCCUAACGCGGUUGGGUGAUUUAUGGGACCCCCUCGACAGUUCGCUUUGAAUAAAACUCCUCCAGCAAGGCCCAACCUUGGUUUUACCAUUUGCCUCACCACCACCUACAUUUCCCUUGGGAGUAAUUAACCUAAGGGUCAUCUUUAUUUUAGCCCCCCCCCCCGGGCCAAUGCUUGUCUAAGUGUUGGUCUGAACCGAGUAGACUGCAGGGCCCCCUCGGGGAAACUCGAGGUCUGGUUUUACUCGUAGGAUGUCUCAUCCGGUGUUGCCCUGAGAACGAGAUAUGUGCAGCUCCUAUCGGGAUUGUCGGCGCAUCGAGCGGCUUUGCUGGUCUUGUUUUACCAUUGUCGAAAUGUCUUGUAAACCGGGAUUCCAAGACUGAUCGGGUCUUCCUGGGAGAAGGAAUAUUCUUCGUUGAUCGCGAGAGCUUAUCAUGGGCUAAGUUGGGACACCCCUGCAGGGUAUAAACUUUUGAGAGCCGUGCCCGCGGUUAUGUGGCAGAUGGGAAUUUAUUAAUGUCCGGUUGUAGAUAACUUGACACCAGAUACGAAUUAAAACGCAUCAACCGUGUGUGUAGCCGUGAUGGUCUCUUUUCGGCGGAGUCCGGGAAGUGAACACGGUUUUGGGUUAUGUUUGACGUAAGGAGGAGUUCAGGAUCACCUCUUGAUCAUUGCUAGCUUCACGACCGUUCCUUUGUUUCUCUUCUCGCUCCUAUUUGCGUAUGUUAGCCACCAUAUAUGCUUAGUCGCUGCUGCAACCUCACCACUUUACCCCUUCCUUUCCCAUUAAGCUUUCCUAGUCUUGAUACCCAUGGUAAUGGGAUUGCUGAGUCCUCGUGGCUCACAGAUUACUAAAACAACAGUUGCAGGUACAGGUUAUGCGAUGAUCAUGAUGCGAGAGCGAUGUUUGCUUGUUUUGGAGUUCUUCUUCUGCUUCUUCUUCGAUCAGGGGAUAGGUUCCAGGUCGGCAGCCUGGGCUAGCAGGGUGGAUGUCGUUUAAGCUUAUGUUUGUGUUUCAUCCGUAGUCGGAUGGUGCUCUUAUGUAUGAUUAUGUUGUAUUCGUGUGGCAUUGUAUGCCUCUUGUAUGUAUCCCCAUCUAUUAUGUAAUGUUGAUGUAAUGAUAUCCACCUUGCAAAAGCGUCUCCAAGAUGCGCUUCUAUUCUUGGUGGGACCUUCGAGUUCCUUUAGGAUAGGGUCGCAUCUUGGGCAGGACACGUAUAUCAUGUUCACCGUCCGCACUUGUAGGGGGAAGCCCUUUUGUCCUCUAUUGUUCGGCGGCCGGGGCUCCUCCUCGUCGUCGCUAUGCAGCCCCUUGUCAUUGUUUUCGGCAUUUAACUUGCGGCCUGCUUGAACACCCAACAAUCCCUAUUGGUGUGGUUGGCUGGUUUUUCGAGGGUGCCGUGUAUCUGGCACGAGCGAUCGAGUAUUCGCUCCAAAUUGGACGGGCCCGGAGUAUUUAUUUUGAAUGGCUUUUUCUGCUGACCGGGUUUAGAGCCUCUGAAUCCGGCAUUGACUGCCGCAUACUCAGCAUUAUCGCCAUUAAUGCGGCACUUGUGCUCGUUGCGACGUGGCCUGCCGUUGCUGUCCUUGGUAUCCGAAUUACCAGGGCUCUUGGUCAUCUUGUUACUAUGAGCUAGCCAGCUGUCCUCUCCCGCACAAAAGCGGGUCAUGAGUGUUGUGAGGGCUGCCAUGGAUUUCGGCUUUUCCUGUCCUAGGUGCCGGGCAAGCCACUCGUCGCGGAUGUUAUGUUUGAAGGAUGCAAGGGCCUCUGCAUCCGGACAGUCGACGAUUUGAUUUUUCUUGGUUAGGAACCAUGUCCAGAAUUGUCUAGACGAUUCUUCUGGCUGCUAAAUUAUGUGGCUUAGGUCAUCAGCGUCUCGUGGUCGCACAUAAGUGCCCUGGAAAUUGUCGAGGAAUGCGGCUUCCAGGUCUUCCCAACAACCAAUUGACUCUACUGGCAAGCUGUUAAGCCAAUGCCGAGCUGGUCCUUUAAGCUUGAGUGGGAGGUAUUUGAUGGCGUGUAGGUCAUCAACGCGGGCCAUGUGGAUGUGAACAAGAUAGUCCUCGAUCCAGACCGCAGGAUCUGUUGUGCCAUCGUAUGAUUCAAUGUUUACGGGUUUGAAACCCUCAGGGAUUUGAUGAUCCAUCACUUCAUCUGUGAAGCAUAGUGGGUGUGCGGCGCCUCUGUAUUGUGCUAUAUCAUGACGUAGCUCAAAUGAGCUUUGUCUACUGUGUUCGGCCCGGCCGGAAUUGCCAUAUCCGGCGUGACGGUUAUCGUCACAUGUAGUGGGGCGCCCACGCGAUCCGUAGAUCGAUCUUGUUUGCCCUGCCCUGUCCUCCAAUAUAUCUUGCAGGUCUGGCGCACUUCCCCGCGCCUUGGUAUUUUUUGAGCGACGCCGGGGUGCGGCUUGAGUGGAGGGCCGAGAGGCCUCUCUGUCGCGGCCACGAGGUGGUCGGUCGACCGUAUCAUGCGCUGGUGAUGUAGUUUAGGUGCUUCCUCUUUUAAUCGGGGUAGCAGCCUGCGUUUUGGGUAGCUCUUGGAGGGGCACUCGAGUUCAUACUCUUCGGCCACCAGGACUUCAGUCCAUCUGUCGGCUAGCAAAUCUUGGUCAGCUCUAAGCUGUUGCUGUUUUUUCUUGAGGCUGCUUGCCAUGGCCAUAAGCCUGCGUUUGAAACGCUCAUGUUCGACGCGAUCCUCAGGCAUGACAAAUUCGUCAUCAUCGAGGCUUGCCUCGUCUUCGGAGGGAGGCAUGUAUUAUCGUCCUCUACCUCUCUGUCUGCCGCUCUCUUAUGAGGGCUGGCUUCUCCAUCCUCCUACGCUGAAUCCUGCUGGAGGGGGUUGUCUUUGGCACUGUCCGGGGUGUUAUUGUCUCCCGUGCCGGAAUCACCAUUUUUGCUGUGGCGGGAUUUAGAGCGGCGCCGCUAACGCUGGCGCUUAGGCUGUUUCUUGGAGGGGUCAUCCUCCGUUGUUCCAUCGCCAUUCCCAUCUUUUGGGAUGUCCACCAUGUAUAUGUCGUAUGAUGAGGUGGCCUUCCAGUGCCCUGUAGGCGCUGGUUCUUGGUCGUCUCCUGCAUCGUCAUCCAUACUGUCGAUGUCUUCGGAGUCGAAGCCGGGCAUGUUGGUUAAAUCAUCGACAGUGGCUACGAAGUGGGUGGUGGGUGGGCUUUGAAUUUCUUUGUCGUCCGCAUCCCAACCUUCCUGACCAUAAUCCGGCCAGGGCUCUCCUGAUAAAGAGAGAGACUUUAGCGAAUUCAGGAUGUCACCAAAGGGCGAGUGCUGAAAGAUGUCUGCGGUAGUGAACUCCAUGAUCGGUGCCCAAUCGGAUUCGAUUGGCAGGGGCGCGGAAGGUUCGGAGUCCGGAGAGGAGUCCGGCACCUUGGAGUCACGAGCUUCGCAAAGGACAGGGUUGGUAUUCGGCUCAAUCGCCAUAGAGAUAGCAGCCCCCGAGGCGGUGUCCAGCCACCCAUCCUCGAUCGGCACAGUCGGCUCCAAGCUAAGGGUCGGAGCGGACACUGGUGCGGCCUCCAAAGCACUGUCCGGCGGCAGAGCUAGAUCAUGCCCAUCGUGACAGUGCGGCGCGCUUGGCUGUGGCUCGAACCCGUCAAAGAUCAAGUCUCCGCGGAUGUCAGCUGUAUAGUUCAAACUUCCAAAUCUGACCUAAUGGCCAGGGGUGUAGCUUUCACUCUGCUCCAGAUGGCCAAGUGAAUUGGCCCGCAGUGCAAAGCUGCCGAAUACGAAGAUCUGUCCGGGGAGAAAAGUCUCACCCCGGACCGCAUCGUUGUUGAUGAUCGAAGGAGCCAUCGGGCCUAAAGAUGACGACAUAGAGGAACUCUCAAUGAAAGCACCAAUGUCGGUGUCAAAACCGGCGGAUCUCGGGUAGGGGGUCCCGAACUGUGCGUCUAGGCGGAUGGUAACAGGAGACAAGGGACACGAUGUUUUUACCCAGGUUCGGGUCCUCUCGAUGGAGGUAAAACCCUACUCCUGCUUGAUUAAUAUUGAUGAUAUUGGUAGUACAAGAGUAGAUCUACCACGAGAUCAGAGAGGCUAAACCCUAGAAGCUAGCCUAUGGUAUGAUUGUUGUUCGUCCUAUGGACUAAAACCCUCCGGUUUAUAUAGGCACCGAAGAGGGUUAGGGUUACACAGAGUCGGUUACAAUGGUAGGAGAUCUACAUAUCCGUAUCGCCAAGCUUGCCUUCCACGCCAAGGAAAGUCCCAUCCGGACACGGGACGAAGUCUUCAAUCUUGUAUCUUCAUAGUCCAGGAGUCCGGCCAAAGGCUAUAGUCCGGCCAUCCAGACACCCCCUAAUCCAGGACUCCCUCACCCAUCAAUAGAUAUCAAUGCGAGUGAGUAGGGAUUGCCAUGCAACAAAUGCACUAGAGCUAUAAGUGUAUGAAAGCUCAAAAAGAAAAUAAGUGGGUGUGCAUCCAACUUGCUUGCUAACGAAGACCUAGGGCAACUUUAGGAAGCCCAUCAUUGGAAUAUACAAGCCAAGUUCUAUAAUGAAAAGUUCCCACUAGUAUAUGAAAGUGACAACAUAGGAGACUCUCUAUCAUCAAGAUCAUGGUGCUACUUUGAAGCACAAGUGUGGUAAAAGGAUAGUAGCAUUGCCCCUUCUCUCUUUUUCUCUCAUUUUUUUCUUCUUUUUUUGGGGCCUCCUCUUUUUUUGGCCUCUUUUUUAUUUUUUCUUUAUUUUUCAUCCGGAGUCUCAUCCCGACUUGUGGGGGAAUCAUAUUCUCCAUCAUCCUUUCCUCACUAGGACAAUGCUCUAAUAAUGAAGAUCAUCACACUUUUAUUUACUUACAACUCGAUACUUAGAACAAAAUAUGACUCUAUAUGAAUGCCUCUGGCGAUGUACCGGGAUGUGCAAUGAAUCAAGAGUGACAUGUAUGAAAGAAUUGUAACAUCCCAAUUUUCAAUUUGGAUGUUAUACAUAGCUCAUCAUAUGCAUAUCAUAUUUGUUCUUGUAUUUGUUGUGAUCCUAGAAAUCUUAAGCAACUCAAGGACCCAAGGAGCGAGUUGGAGGUUUCACAAAAAUCAUAUUUGAAUUUAUUUCAAAUUUGAAGAAAGGAUCAAUUUGAUUUUAUUAUUUUUCUCUCCAAUUAUUUCCAAAAAUAAAAGUAUAUGAGAGAAGAUAAUAUGACUUCUUCAACCUGAGAGAAAUAUUGGAGAAAGAAUUUUAAAAUCAAAUUAUGAUUCUAUUGGUAUUUUAUUUGCUAUUUUAUUUGAAUUAGAAAAAUAUUGCAUUUUGGAAAUUGCAUCUUAGUCCAGAAAAAUGUUCACCUUGUCCUAAAUAUUAGGUUUGGACGGUGAAAAUUGUUUUUGGAAUUUUUAGAAUUUUUUUAUAUUUUAUUUAGGAUUUUUCUUUCGGGCGAAAUUAAUUUAAAUAAAAAAAGUUCUUUCUGCCUGACUGGGCCGAAGGCCCAGCCAAGCCAGCCCAGCAGUGCCGCGCCGCCGCCUUCCCCCGCGCGGGAGUCCGCCUCGCCGCCGCCAGCCAAGUCUGAGGCGGGCACGCCUCCCGAGGCCGGCCCCUUCCCCAAGACGAGGCCGAGCCCCCCCCCUUAAAUAGUGCGUCGCUCCGCCGCCUCUCCUCCACCGCAUCGCCGCUGCCUCCCACCAGCAGCGGCACGCCCGCGCCACCGCCGCCGCACGCCCGCGCCGCCGUCGCCUAGUGUCGCCCCGCCGCCUCGCCGCCGAUGCCUCGUCGCCCGACACCAUCGUCCGAUCUCGCCGUCGCCGCCGGUUUUCUCGUGAACCGGUAAGACCGAUCGGAACCCCGGUUUUUUCGGUUUUUCGGUUCGGUUUAGUUCGGUUUUAUUUGUUAACGAACGUCCGUUCGUUCGUUCGCUUUAACGAAGGUUUUCAUCGAAUAAGCUCUGUUAGCGAACGUUCGCGCCAUAGGAUUUUUCUUUUUAGUUUAUUUUCGGCCAGGGACCUAUCUGCGAAUAGUUUUAUCAUGAUUUAGCCCCUGAUCUUUAAACUAACAUAACUUUUUACUCGUUUAUCCAAAUUAGAUGAAACCAGCGCCUAAAUAUUCGUAUCGUUCUGUUCUUUCCAGUUCACCAACUUGGACAUGAUUUUGGUACUGUAAAAUUUGAGUUUAGACCAGAUUAGUAACGAUCUUGUUUUGUUCGUAUUUUGAGUUUCGUUGCUCCGUUUGAGUUGAAUCUUUUUGCAAAUCGUAGCUAAUCAUAUGUACCUACUGUUAAGAUCUAAUUCACAUGAUAAUAUUGAUGUUAGGAAUUUUGUUAGUUUAAGCUGUUUGCUUGUUUCGUGUUUGAUUUGGAUCUUUUCUCGGUUUUCCCAUUGUUUUGUUUGAGUGAUUGCUUAUGUAUGCUACUGUUUGUUUACGCUAGAUUACCCAAAGUGCGAAGCUUGUUACUACGAAUCUCUAGAGUUUAUAGAUCGUCAGCAAGGCAAGUUACACUUUGAUCAUACUCCUUUAUACCCAGUUUUUACUAUGCAUUAGUUUUGCCCCUCAAAUAUUUGCAUGAGUAGGAUUGGGAACAUGUGGUCUUGGUUGUAGUGCUUGAGGUAGGAACCUAAUCCUUUGGAUCACCCCGGGAAUAUACGUAUGCUUAUUUAUUGCUUAGCCAUGCUCGUAGACGAGGAUUGGAUCGUGAUUCACACAUGGAAGUUUGAGAGUUAUUUAAUCAUGGAUAACAUUAAGGUGGUAACUUUAAUAUACAUCUGGGUGGAUUGGUUGAGACACCUGGGGAACCCAGUGUUGUCUGUUUUGGGAAAUCUUGGAGUACCCGUGUGAUUUUUCCUAUGGAAUGCCACCCAGGCUCAAAGGGAUCAUAAGAUUAUUCAUGCUAGAAACUUCCAUGUGCAGCCACAAGCCAUUAUGGGCUCUGGUAUAGUUGAUUAAGUUGCGUGAGCUCUUGAAGAGGUGGACUAUCGGAUGUAGGGGAAAGUAGGUGUACCGAUCCGCCCGAAGUAGAGAGUUAAUGCUUCAGAAAGACCAUGCCUCGAUCAUCCGAUCAUGGAUGCGGUCGAGUCUUGUGGGAAAAAGUGCGCAACCUCUGCAGAGUGUAUAAACUAAUCAUGGUUAGCCUUGUCCCCGGUUAUGGACAUCUUGAGUAUCUAGUACUUGAAUCUAUUGAUGUGAUCUCAUCACGUUACUUUAAUUAAUUUGAUUUGGGUUAAUGAUGAUACUUUUAAUUGGGAUUUGAGUUGGGGUUACCUUCUCAAAUAUUGGGCAACUUGGGAGUAGUUAAAUAAAUUUAUUCCUUUGUUGUAGGGAAAAACUAGCUUUAUGCAAAAAUCAUAAACUUCAGCCUCCACCAGCCAAAUAUUGCAUGUAGAUAUAUUUCUUGCAUUUCAUUGCUUUACAGUGUAACUCUGCCAGCAUAUUCAAUGUGCUGACCUACAUGGCUGCAACGUCUCAUGUUGCAGACUACUCAGACGAUGAAUAAGGUGCGAUAGGUCGUUGUUUUGCACUCAGCUAUGUCGUUGGAGUUGAUGGACUCAUUUACCUUCGAAGCUUCCGCAGUUAUUCAGUCUAGAUGGCCUUCAGCCAUGAUAUUUUUGUGUAAUCAUACUCUUUAUGAGGACUUGAUGUAAUAAGUGAGUGAUUGAAACUCUAUUAUAAUUCCUCGAGUACUAUGCAUGUCAGCAUUACUGAUCCAGGGAUGACACUGAUGCACAGAGACUUGACCGUUUGAGGUCUGAUCACUACAAGAAUUAUGAACGGUGGCUUUCCCACAAAUACAAUGUCAACUAGAUGAUCAUGCAAAGAAAUAUGACAAUGAUGAAGUGUGUCAUAAUAAAUAAUGGUGGAAAGUUGCAUGGCAAUAUAUCUUGGAAUGGUUAUGGAAAUGCCAUAAUAGGUAGGUAUGGUGGUUGUUUUGUGGAAGGUAUAUGGUGGGUGUAUGGUACCGGCGAAAGUUGCGCGGUACUAGAGAGGCUAGCAAUGAUGGAAGGGUGAGAGUGCGUAUAAUCCAUGGACUCAACAUUAGUCAUAAAGAACUCACAAACUUAUUGCAAAAAUCUAUUGGUUAUUGAAAUGAAGUACUAGCACAUGCUCCUAGGGGGAUAGAUUGGUAGGAAAAGACCAUCGCUCGUCCCCGACCGCCACUCAUAAGGAAGAUAAUCAAUAAAUAAAUCAUGCUCCGACUUCAUCACAUAACGGUUCACCAUACGUGCAUGCUACGGGAAUCACAAACUUUAACACAAGUAUUUCUACAAUCCACAGUUACUCACUAGCAUCAUUGUAAUAUCACCAUCCUCAUAUCUCAAAACAAUCAUAAGGUAUCAAACUUCUCAUAGUAUUCAAUGCACUUUAUAUGAAAGUUUUUAUUAUAUUCCUCUUGGAUGUCGAUUAUAUUAGGACUAAAUUCAUAACCAAAGCAAAUUACUGUGUUGUUUAAGACUCUCAAUAUAAUAUGUGAAGCAUGGGAGUUCAUCAAUUCCUUCAAAAUAAAACCACCGCCGUGCUUUAAAAGGAUAUAAGUGAAGCAUUAGAGCAAAUGAUAAACUACUCCAAAAGAUAUAAGUGAAGAUCAAUGAGUAGUUGAAUAAUUAUGUCACUAUGUGAAGACUCUCAAGAAUAUCAGAUCUUAAUAUUUUAUUCAAACAACAAGCAAAUCAAAAUAAAAUAAAAUGACAUUGCAAGGAUAGCACAUAUCAUGUGAAGAAACAAAAACUUAGGCUCAACCAAAACUGACUGAUAGUUGUUGAAGAAGAAAGGUGGGAUGCCAACUGGGGCAUCCCCAAGCUUAGAUGCUUGAUACUUAUUGAAAUAUUAAUUAGGGAUGCCUUGAGCAUCCCCAAGCUUGAGCUUUUGUGUCUCCUUAAUUCCUUUUACAUCACGGUGUCCCAAAAUCUUAAAAACUUCAUCCACACAAAACUCAACAAGAACUCAUGAGGUAAGUUAGUAUAAAUCAAUGUAAUAACCUAAUCAUUCUCUACUAUAGCAAAUCACUAAAACUAUUAUUUGAUAUUGCCUACUAAAUGCCUCUGCAUAUUUAACACUCCUAUCCUCAAAUAGAAUCAUUAAAUAAUCAAACCUAUGCAAACAAUGCAAACAUAAUAGCAAUCUAUCUAAACAGGACAGUCUGUAAAGAAUGCAAGAGGCAUCAUGCUUCCCUAACUCCAAAAAUUCUGAAAAAUUACCACACUAUACAAAUUUGUUGUUACUCAUUGUGUAAAAAAAAUUAAGAUUUUAUCCCAUUCUGACUAUUCACAAAUAUUCAGACAAUGAUAGAAAACUUUCUGCUUUCAAAACAGCAACUUGUAGACUUGUAAAAUAAGCAUGGUAAAGGCUAUACUUGAUUUUUUAUUGAACUAAUAGAUAGAAAACAUGUCUAUGAAUAACAGCAAGAAAAUACUAAUAAAAUAAACUGACGCUCCGAGCAAAACACAUAUCAUGUGGUGAAUAAAAAUAUAGCUCCAAGUAAGGUUACCGAUGAACGAAGACGAAAGAGGGGAUGCCAUCUGGGGCAUCCCCAAGCUUAGUUGCUUGGAUAUUCCGAAUAUUACCUUGGGUGCCUUGGGCAUCCCCAAGCUUAGGCUCUUGCCUCUCCCUAUUCCAUAUUCCAUCUAAACUUUACCCAAAACAUGAAAACUUCCCAACACAAAACUCCACAGAAAAUCUUAUGAGCUCCGUUAGUAUAAGAAAGCAAAUCACCACUUAGGUACUGUUGUGAACUCAUUCCAAUUUUAUAUUGGUGUUAUAUCUACUGUAUUCCAACUUUUAUAUGGUCCAUACCCUCCGAUACUACUCAUGGAUUCAUCAAAAUAAGCAAACAACACAAUGAAAAUAGAAUCUUUCAAAAACAGAACAGUCUGUAGUAAUCUGGAAACUUUUCAUACCUGUGUAACUCCAAAAAUUAUGAAAAAUUAGGACAAUCUAGGAAAUAUGUAUAUCAAUCUUGUGUAAACAAUUCAGAACAAAAUCACGUCCCAGUUAAUUUGCAAAAUUCUGGACUAAGAGCAAAAGUUAAUGUUUUUGCAUAUAAUCAAGUUAACUAUCACCAUAGACCAUCCCUAAGGCUUUACUUGGCACUUUAUUGAAACAAAAGCUAUAAAACAUGAUUAAUAUAGUAGCUUAAUCAUGUGGACACACAAAAACAGUAGGGGUAAAUGUUGGAUUGUCUCCCAACAAGAUCUUUUCUUUAAUGCCUUUUUUAGCCAGGCAUGAUGAUGUCAAUGAUGCUCACAUAAAAGAUAAAAAUUGAAACAUAAUGGGAGCAUCAUGAAGCAUAUGACUAACACAUCUAAGUCUAACCCAUUUCCUAUGCAUAGGGAUUUUGUGAGCAAACAAUUUAUAGAAACAAGAAACAACUAGCAUAGCAAAAUAAAACAAGCAUAACUUCAAAACUUUCAACACAUAGAGAGGAAACUUGAUAUUAUUGCAACUCCUACCAGCAUAUAUUCCUCCCUAAUAAUAAUUUUCAGUAGAAUCAUGAAUGAGUUCAACAAUAUAACUAUCACAUAAAGCAUUCUUUUCAUGAUCCACAAGCAUAGAAAUUUUAUUACUCUCCACAUAAGCAUAUUUCUUCUCAUGAAUAGUAGUGAGAGCAAACUCAACAAAAUAACUAUCAUGUGAGGCAUAAUCCAAUUGAAAAUUAAAAUCAAGAUGACAAGUUUCAUGGUUAUCAUAAUUAUUUAUAGCAUACAUGUCAUCACAAUAAUCAUCAUAGAUAGCAACUUUAUUCUCAUAAUCAAUUGGAACCUCUUCUGAAAUAGUAGAUUCAUCAAUAAAUAAAGUCGUGACCUCUCCAAAUCCACUUUCAUAAUUAUCUCUACUCCUAUAAAAAUGUGAGUUGGUGGUGAUGGCGUGCCUGCUUUUGUGGCAUAUGUGCCGCCUGAUCUGAAACGGACGGCUGAGAGUGAGAUAAGUUCUGCUUGAGCCACUUGUACAACAUUUUGCAGAAGCACCCCGCACGUCAGACGGACUACUUGUUUCUAUUUCUCUCAGGAAAGAAACAGAAGUUUCGAGUACCCCUUCUAAAGAUCAAGGUCGCUACACACGGUGGAAAUCUCUCGGUCUCUCUCCCAACGCGAGAGGCGGUUUCCAGGCGGGCUGCCUCCACUGGUCUCCAUCGCCUCCGGUAAGCCGUCGGGCUCUCGGAGGUGUGCGGGACAGUGUACGACCGCGAGGCGGUUGUAGAUAAUGUUGUUUUAGAAUUUUAUUCUGGCACUGGCGGGCAGGUAGGGGCGACGUCAACGCUGUGGGAUAAGGUUCCCCCUGGCUCCUUUCCCGUCUCCGCGGUGAUCCCUCCGGCCGGUGGCACUGCGGGGUUAGGGAGGUUGGCCUCUCUCUUAUCCGGCGAGGUUUGGUCGGUGAUGGGGGUGCACAAUAGUAUAGAAGUUGGGAUUUGUGGAGAGGGAUUCCCAGAUCAGGUCGCCUCGGACGGCCGACAGCUGCGCACUGUUGCGGGCGAAGUGGUUUGAGUUGCGGCUCCACUCCGUCAUAGGCUGCCGCUGGUCAAGGGAUCACUUGGUCUACCCCAGGCCGAUGCACCAGAACCCUCCCUGGUUCCGUCUUUUGGGGAGGGACUUAUAUGCGGCUCACAAAGCCAUGGAUUGGCGAUGCUGCUCCUCAUGCCCGUUGUCUUGUGGAUGACGGCUAGCACCGGCGAGUGCAGAGAUCAGCGUGCCUGGGUGAAUAAGGAAGAUGAACUGGGCUGUAAGUUACUUUGUUUUCUCUGUCGGCGUUAUUCCCUUUAGUGUUAUCUCUGCCUCUCUAGUUCUCAACCUCCAACGACAUGCCCUUUUUUGUGCUGGCCAUGGAGGCUAGCAGCGGCAGGACUGCCAUGACUAGGCCGCGCAAUAUUUCUAACAGUGUUGAGCUACUCGUUCCCGACAGCUCCGGUGCCAAGCUGCCAAGCAGGUAUGUGUGUGAUGGAUCUUUUAAUUUUAAGUUUGCUUCCUGUUCGAUUAGGUGCAUAUUUCGCAAGAUAAUGUUGUUCUAUCAUGUCUCUGAUUUUGAUUUCGAUUUUGAUUUUUCCUGCAGAUUUCAGGAUAUAGAAGGCAGCUUCAGGAAGGGGUCGCUGACGAGGUGAGACCAUUGCGUCUAUUCUUGUGUUAGUUUGUUUCAAAGAAAUCACACUAAUUUCUCUCAGUAUACUCUGCAGAGAAAUAAGUACUGAAGCAGGCUUCACCGAAGACUACUGAUCUAGAAUUGUUUGUUGCUGAAAUAAGUCCAGGAGCGGUGGAGCAGGCUGAACAAUUUUCUGUUGAUUUUACUGAAUGGAUUGUCCCUGUAAUUUGACCAAACGUCAUGUCGCCGUGCCACUGAAGUUUUUGCACAGAAUUCUUGUCUUUUUGGGUGGUGCCAAGCUGUCUUUUUGUUGAACAAUGCCACAAUUGCAUAGUUGUAAGUUAUUUAGGAUUGUCUCUAUUGCAUACGACCUGGAGUUACAAGAGGUCCAGUACUAAUUUUGUGUAUGUAUGUACAUGUGCAGUCACCCAUUUUCUAUACACAAGAUUCCAAAGCAUCUUUUACUGUACAUUUUGUUUCUUUUCUCGGUACAAAAUGUAUUGCAAGUGUUGUUCAUUUUUUCCCUUCUCUAAAUAUACUAGAGACCCUCUAAGGGCUCAGUUUUCUUCCCGUUUGUCUGAAUAUACCCAGAUUUAUUUUGUGUGUGCGUAUUUAACAAAGCAUUUAGUUA
Molecule: long non-coding RNA, 26675 nt
Filed under: Triticum aestivum (bread wheat)
Lineage: Eukaryota; Viridiplantae; Streptophyta; Magnoliopsida; Poales; Poaceae
Description: long non-coding RNA (TAES_LNC022513)
Rfam family: MIR1120/MIR1122 microRNA precursor family (bases 2487-2621)
Source: RNAcentral